CGCCGCUGAGUGGCCUGAAUCGAGGGUCCAGACUUCGUUGUCGUCCUCUGCCUUUCGACCGCCCUCUCAGCUCUCGCGACCGUCACCCCUGCCCUCUUGCCCGGCCCUGCGCAACAUGCAGCCCGCGGACCUACAAGUUUCCCGCGCUUUCAGCCUGCGAACUCUGUUGCUGCUCCAGCUGCUGCUGCCGCCCCCGGUAACCCGCGCCCAGACCACGCCGGGCGCCCCCAGUUCCCCGACAGCGCCAGACGCCCCCAGCGCCCUCACCACGCCGGGCACCGCCAGUGCCCUGAGCCUGCGAGAGCGCGCGCGGGCCCUGAUGAGGGACUUCCCGCUCGUGGAUGGCCACAAUGACCUGCCCCUGGUCCUGAGGCAGUUUUACCGGAAGGGGCUACAGGAUGUUAACCUGCGCAAUUUCAGCCAUGGCCAGACCAGCCUGGACAGGCUUAGAGAUGGCCUCGUGGGCGCCCAGUUCUGGUCGGCCUACGUCCCAUGCCACACUCAGGACCAGGAUGCCCUGCGCCUCACCCUGGAGCAGAUUGACCUCAUUCGCCGCAUGUGUGCCUCCUACUCUGAACUGGAGCUUGUGACCUCGGCUGAAGCUCUGAACAACAGCCAGAAAUUGGCCUGCCUCAUUGGUGUGGAGGGUGGCCACUCACUAGACAGCAGCCUCUCCAUCUUGCGUACCUUCUAUGUACUGGGAGUGCGCUACCUGACGCUCACCCACACCUGCAACACACCCUGGGCAGAGAGCUCGGCUAAGGGUACCCACUCCUUCUACAACAAUGUCAGCGGGCUGACCAGUUUUGGUGAGAAGGUGGUGGCAGAAAUGAACCGCCUGGGCAUGAUGGUAGACUUGUCCCAUGUUUCGGACAUGGUUGCACGGCGGGUCCUGGAAGUUUCACAGGCACCUGUGAUCUUCUCCCACUCAGCUGCUCGGGGUGUGUGCAAUAAUGAUAGGAACGUUCCUGAUGACAUCCUUCAGCUUCUGGUUCCCUCAGGGGCUGGAGGAUGUGUCCACAUACCCCGUACUGAUAGAGGAGUUGCUGAGUCGUGGCUGGAGUGAGGAAGAGCUUCAGGGUGUCCUUCGUGGAAAUCUGCUGCGGGUCUUUGGACAAGUGGAACAGGUACGGGAGGAAAACAAGCAGCAAAGCCCCUUGGAGGACAGCCUCCCGGAUGAGCAGCUGAGCAGCCCCUGCCGCUCCAUCCUCUC
RNA transcript from Cynocephalus volans (Philippine flying lemur), 1213 nucleotides. It is a transcript of the gene named dipeptidase 2, with no coding region annotated. NCBI's taxonomy places the organism in Eukaryota, Metazoa, Chordata, Mammalia, Dermoptera, Cynocephalidae. The record is from RefSeq and is a predicted model, not a curated record. The transcript has 8 exons.